UUGAAAGGUAAAAAAUGUAACAAGGUCUCCGUUGGUGAACCAGCGGAGGGAUCAUUACCGAGUUUACAACUCCCAAACCCAAUGUGAACGUUACCAAACUGUUGCCUCGGCGGGGUCACGCCCCGGGUGCGUCGCAGCCCCGGAACCAGGCGCCCGCCGGAGGAACCAACCAAACUCUUUCUGUAGUCCCCUCGCGGACGUAUUUCUUACAGCUCUGAGCAAAAAUUCAAAAUGAAUCAAAACUUUCAACAACGGAUCUCUUGGUUCUGGCAUCGAUGAAGAACGCAGCGAAAUGCGAUAAGUAAUGUGAAUUGCAGAAUUCAGUGAAUCAUCGAAUCUUUGAACGCACAUUGCGCCCGCCAGUAUUCUGGCGGGCAUGCCUGUCCGAGCGUCAUUUCAACCCUCGAACCCCUCCGGGGGAUCGGCGUUGGGGAUCGGGACCCCUCACACGGGUGCCGGCCCCGAAAUACAGUGGCGGUCUCGCCGCAGCCUCUCCUGCGCAGUAGUUUGCACAACUCGCACCGGGAGCGCGGCGCGUCCACGUCCGUAAAACACCCAACUUUCUGAAAUGUUGACCUCGGAUCAGGUAGGAAUACCCGCUCGAACUUAAGCAUAUCAAAA
This 621-nucleotide ribosomal RNA is filed under the name Trichoderma asperellum. RNAcentral describes it as "eukaryotic LSU rRNA". The stretch from base 241 to 394 matches the Rfam family "5.8S ribosomal RNA". The record is from RNAcentral. Lineage: Eukaryota; Fungi; Ascomycota; Sordariomycetes; Hypocreales; Hypocreaceae.